Saccostrea cuccullata (small rock oyster) is the source of this 470-nucleotide long non-coding RNA. RefSeq lists it as uncharacterized. NCBI's taxonomy places the organism in Eukaryota, Metazoa, Mollusca, Bivalvia, Ostreida, Ostreidae. The record is from RefSeq and is a predicted model, not a curated record. The transcript has 4 exons.
CAAAAGUAUAUGACACCAGCUGAAUUGCAAUAUUUUCGGACCAAUCAAUUCCCUUGUUAGAAAAAUUACGUUGAAUUUGGGUCAGUGCUGGUUGUGAAUAAUUGGGUCACUCAGUCAUGGAGAGUUCACAUACACGAGAUAAUUGACCGAGUGUCUAAAUUGAAGUGAGGACCGGGGGACGUAAACACCCUCGUCUCAAGGUUUCCCUACCCACGGUCACCCAGCUAAAUCUUCAUGGCCAAUCAGAAGUACCACAGACAUGGAUUAAGUUUUGAUCCGUGAAAUGGUUUGAUGUGUGGUGUACUGGAAAGCAUAUACAGACAAAUCCUUUCAGCAUAAUAUGACAACAAUGGGAAAAGAAGCCAGCUUGGAUGGAUUAGAGUUUGAUGGGGACACGGUGCUAUGUCGAGUUUGUGGAGAUAAGGCUAGCGGAUUUCACUAUGGUGUUCAUGCCUGUGAAGGAUGCAAGG